RNAcentral lists this ribosomal RNA (524 nucleotides) under Theileria ovis. Its description in RNAcentral is "SSU rRNA". It matches the Rfam family "Eukaryotic small subunit ribosomal RNA", at positions 527 to 1082 of the family's 1831-position model. Lineage: Eukaryota; Apicomplexa; Aconoidasida; Piroplasmida; Theileriidae. The record is from RNAcentral.
UUACCUCUUCCAGAGUAUCUAUUGGAGGGCAAGUCUGGUGCCAGCAGCCGCGGUAAUUCCAGCUCCAAUAGCGUAUAUUAAAAUUGUUGCAGUUAAAAAGCUCGUAGUUGAAUUUCUGCUGCAUUGCUUUUGCUCCUUUACGAGUCUUUGCAUUGUGGCUUAUUUCGGACUUUGUUUUACAUUGUCCGGAUGUUUACUUUGAGAAAAUUAGAGUGCUCAAAGCAGGCUUUCGCCUUGAAUAGUUUAGCAUGGAAUAAUAAAGUAGGACUUUGGUUCUAUUUUGUUGGUUUUAGGUACCAAAGUAGUGGUUAAUAAGAACAGUUGGGGGCAUUCCUAUUUAACUGUCAGAGGUGAAAUUCUUAGAUUUGUUAAAGACGUAACUACUGCGAAAGCAUUUGCCAAGGAUGUUUUCAUUAAUCAAGAACGAAAGUUAGGGGAUCGAAGACCAUCAUAUACCGUCCUAGUCCUAACCAUAGACUAUGCCGACUAGAUAUUGGAGGUCGUCGAUUUUUACGACUCCCUCA